RNAcentral lists this microRNA precursor (60 nucleotides) under Tribolium castaneum (red flour beetle). RNAcentral describes it as "microRNA tca-mir-3899 precursor". The record is from miRBase by way of RNAcentral. Lineage: Eukaryota; Metazoa; Arthropoda; Insecta; Coleoptera; Tenebrionidae.
UAUAACCCACUUCGAGAGCCCGCCUUGGGACAGACUUCGGCGACACUCGAUAGGGAUAAA